RNAcentral lists this transfer RNA (87 nucleotides) under Planctomycetota bacterium. RNAcentral's name for it is "Planctomycetes bacterium (soil metagenome) tRNA-Leu". It matches the Rfam family "tRNA". From Rfam's summary of the family: Transfer RNA (tRNA) molecules are approximately 80 nucleotides in length. Their secondary structure includes four short double-helical elements and three loops (D, anti-codon, and T loops). Further hydrogen bonds mediate the characteristic L-shaped molecular structure. tRNAs have two regions of fundamental functional importance: the anti-codon, which is responsible for specific mRNA codon recognition, and the 3' end, to which the tRNAs corresponding amino acid is attached (by aminoacyl-tRNA synthetases). tRNAs cope with the degeneracy of the genetic code in two manners: having more than one tRNA (with a specific anti-codon) for a particular amino acid; and 'wobble' base-pairing, i.e. permitting non-standard base-pairing at the 3rd anti-codon position. The record is from RNAcentral. Lineage: Bacteria; Pseudomonadati; Planctomycetota.
GCCCGGGUGGCGGAAUUGGCAGACGCGCUAGGUUCAGGUCCUAGUAUUAGCAAUAAUGUGCAGGUUCGAGUCCUGUCCCGGGCACCA